RNAcentral lists this ribosomal RNA (301 nucleotides) under uncultured bacterium. RNAcentral's name for it is "partial 16S ribosomal RNA". It matches the Rfam family "Bacterial small subunit ribosomal RNA", at positions 509 to 808 of the family's 1533-position model. The record is from RNAcentral.
CAGUAGCCGCGGGAAUACGUAGGGGGCAAGCGUUGUCCGGAAUUAUUGGGCGUAAAGCGCGCGCAGGCGGUUUUCUAAGUCUGGUGUCUAAGUGCGGGGCUCAACCCCGUGACGCACUGGAAACUGGGAGACUUGAGUGCAGAAGAGGAGAGCGGAAUUCCACGUGUAGCGGUGAAAUGCGUAGAGAUGUGGAGGAACACCAGUGGCGAAGGCGGCUCUCUGGACUGUAACUGACGCUGAGGCGCGGAAGCGUGGGGAGCAAACAGGAUUAGAUACCCCCGUAGUCCCUGUCUCUUAUACC